GCUGCGCACUUCGGUCUUUUACGUCGGCCUUCGCGAGCGUCUGGGCGGGUGGUAGGAACAAUGGCGCUGUCUUCAGUGGCACAGUGGAGCAGCUCUGAAGAUGCAAAGAUACACGAAAAAACUUCCAGAACAUCUGGGAGAAUAUUUAAUGGAAAAUCGCUUGGUUAAAACCUGACACUUUUAACAGUGAACAGCGUUCUGAGUGUGGACGAGUAGCCAGUGAAGAUAAUGAAUGUCGAAUGUGACUGACUAGCAGCUUCAUUUUGAAGUAGGUUGUAUGGCUUAAAAGUUCUGUAGUAUUUGUACUAUAAUACUUGCCUUUUAGCAUUACCUUGGUUUGUAGUCAGUGUCACAGAAGUGCAGUUUAAUGUAUUAUGUGUACAUAUACAAGGUCUGAUUGGUCUAAUCAAUGAUGAAACCUAUCCCGAAGCUGAUAACCUGAAGAAAAAUAAGUACGGAUUCGGCUUCUGAGAUUAAGACCAGUAAUUCAGAGGUGGAGUAAAUUUUGUUGCCGUGAUUUUAUAACAGUUGUGUUAUAAAAUCCUGGGUUUUUUUUUUUUCUGCCAACAGUGAGGGUCGCUGUCUGCCCAUUGAUAGAGGCCAGAUUGUCUUGGAAGUUCCAAAGUUGCAACGAUUUCUGGCUAGUGCCACGAGGUUUACUUGACUGUUGUGUGAAAAGCUGAUAAGAAAACCAUCCAGAAAAAAGCUCUUCGUUUUACAAACAUGAAAAUAAAACAUGUAAUUUUGGAU
Molecule: long non-coding RNA, 750 nt
Filed under: Homo sapiens (human)
Lineage: Eukaryota; Metazoa; Chordata; Mammalia; Primates; Hominidae
Description: HSALNT0335476
Rfam family: Small nucleolar RNA SNORD50 (bases 405-474)
Source: RNAcentral